GACGAACGCUGGCGGCGUGCUUAACACAUGCAAGUCGAACGGAAAGGCCCUGCUUUUGUGGGGUGCUCGAGUGGCGAACGGGUGAGUAACACGUGAGUAACCUGCCCUUGACUUUGGGAUAACUUCAGGAAACUGGGGCUAAUACCGGAUAGGAGCUCCUGCUGCAUGGUGGGGGUUGGAAAGUUUCGGCGGUUGGGGAUGGACUCGCGGCUUAUCAGCUUGUUGGUGGGGUAGUGGCUUACCAAGGCUUUGACGGGUAGCCGGCCUGAGAGGGUGACCGGCCACAUUGGGACGGGGAUACGGCCAAGACUCCUACGGGAGGCAGCAGGGGGGAAUAUUGCACAAUGGGCGAAGCCUGAUGCAGCAACGCCGCGUGCGGGAUGACGGCCUUCGGGUUGUAAACCGCUUUCGCCUGUGACGAAGCGUGAGUGACGGUAAUGGGGAAAGAAGCACCGGCUAACUACGU
This 466-nucleotide ribosomal RNA is filed under the name uncultured bacterium. RNAcentral describes it as "partial 16S ribosomal RNA". It matches the Rfam family "Bacterial small subunit ribosomal RNA", at positions 28 to 506 of the family's 1533-position model. The record is from RNAcentral.